This is a long non-coding RNA of Hordeum vulgare subsp. vulgare (domesticated barley), 2171 nucleotides long. RefSeq lists it as uncharacterized. The record is from RefSeq and is a predicted model, not a curated record. NCBI's taxonomy places the organism in Eukaryota, Viridiplantae, Streptophyta, Magnoliopsida, Poales, Poaceae. The transcript is spliced from 2 exons.
CAGAAGUUACAAGCAAGCAACCAAUGAUUUGUCUCAGAGAGUAGGUCUUUCCCAAAAGCAACACAGAGAAGAUAAGCUGCCACACCAGGAAAGACUGGAGAGAACAUUCAGAAGACUAUUAUUUUGACAACAUAGUCAUUUGUUUUUCUUUCUAAACAUCGCCCGUCGGCUCCGCAUCAAGGGCAAAGCCCCAACAAGAAAACAUAUCGAUGUAAUACCCAACACGCACGUCUCGCAAUCCUCCUCGCGAUCUCCCCUGAUGCCGCCUGUAGGCGCCGCCUCCCACGGACGUCUCACCGAUCCUUCUGUCCACGCGCCAUCGCCAAGCCAUUGUCUCCAUCGGCGCCAUGACGGCUGCGGCCUCCUCACCUGCCGCCGCCUCUGCUCCAGAUCUGACCGCCGUUGACGUCUACGUUUAUUUAAAGGACGGCGCUAUCUGCCCGCAUUCAUCGCAGCCGGUGUCAGUGUAUCCCAGCCAAGGAUGCCGUAUUCACCUUCAACAUGGGGGCGACGAGGAAGAGGUGCCCCAGUGGAAUGAAGUGUCUCCACGUCGCUCUUGUGUUGUGUGAUCUGGGGGGAUCAAAAGGAGGAAGAGGAGACCAGGGUUCAACAGACAUCCAAAGGACCCAGACAACAUCCUCCCCAGAUGUCAUACUUCAAGCCCGUAGCCACCGCCUCCUCAAUCUACACUAGCCUGCAGCAGCAAGGUUGAUUGAUUCUUGCCCAACAAAUGGUACAGAUUAAGCAUGCGCGUGCGUUCCAACUCCUACUUGCUUUUGGCUUCCUGAAAGUGCACAUUUGUAGACCACGUCCAGAUUAAACAUUCAGAUUGGUAAUUCAUAGCUUUUGCUUUCAGCUCAAUAUAGGGUAUGCACAGCUUGGUAAUUCAAAAUACGCCCGGAUUAAGUGUGCGUGUGCGUUUUGUUCUGCACAGAUUUUGAGGAGUUUUCUGUGAAUGUAUGGGUAACUAAUCUAGAUUUUUAUGUCCAUACUAAGCGUGCAACACGAUUAGUGCACAUUAGUAAUCUUGUCCGGAAUUAACUACUCAUUUUGUAUGUAGUUCUAUAGUGAACAAGAAGCCAUUUUCAGUUCUGUCAUUCUGUUAGAGAAUUGUGUCUUACCAUAUAUAAAUAUUUUGCUGGAAAUAGUGGGAAUUUACUCCUCUUUAGGGAUUCAUAUUUGCCUAUCAAAUUAAUGCAGUUGAAACUUUGACACGGGAUGUAGCGGGGUUAGGAGAAAAUCCAAUGCACUAUGUACUUAAACUUGCAGGAUUUGAUACACUUCUGAACUCAUACAUCAACUGCAAAUAUGGUUUUAUUUCAUGACAAGUCUUCUUGGUUGUUCUACUAAUUAUCUUGUCAAUUUGAAUUCAUGGGACAAGAAUUGCACAUCAGUUAUGAAGAUCUAUGUGUAUAGAAAAAUCAGGAAGAGAGCAUAACUGAGGUUCAUACAAACAUAGGUAGGUUUGAGUUAGAUCAAUCCUUUAUUCGUGUUAAUUCAAAAUAAAAAUCAUAUAUUAACCUUGACCCUUACUUAGCACUAACUUUAUAGUAGAAUCGCUCCUGCACUGCAUUGGUAAUUUCCUUUGAUUGAUGAGAUUGGCAGUAAGGUUGGUUCUUGAUUCUAUAGGGACUUCAUGGCAUCAUGGGUAGGUCUAGGUAGGUCCCUUUGAUGGAUUAAUUAGCCGGAAGGGUGUUUUUUAAAUGACUUCUCCCAUGCUCAUAGAUGAAGCUUAUAAUUUUUUUGCCAAUGAAUGUUACCUCAUGUCCAUAGCUGAAGCUCAGUGAUAUAAGAAUGCAGGCUUGCUCAAUGGUCAGAUGAUGGGGAGAAGACUUCUGGUUUUUAUGCUUGUAAUGUUUAUGAGGCAAUAACACACGGAGUGGUAAUCGUUACCUAAUCAUGAGCAUAAGUUGACAGUAACACUAAAUUAUUUACGCUAGCUCGGUAGCUCCUACAUUACUGAAAUUUGUUUGAGAGAAUGUAAUACCUCUUAGUGGACUAUUUCAGCAAGAUUUGAUGCUGUUGUUGCAUUUUUUUUAAUUUCUUUCUCUUUGUUUUUUAGAUAUUUAAAGCAUAUGAUGUGAUAUUGUUGGUAGUUUGUACUAAGUACGCUGUAAAUGCUCCAAGAUCAGUUGUUUUCUGGUCACUUACAUGUUUGUCCAUUGGCUACA